UACGGGGGGAGCAAGCGUUGUUCGGAUUUACUGGGCGUAAAGGGCGCGUAGGCGGCCAGCACAAGUCAGUUGUGAAAUCUCCGGGCUUAACUCGGAACGGUCAGCUGAUACUGCUUUGCUAGAGUGCAGAAGGGGCAAUCGGAAUUCUUGGUGUAGCGGUGAAAUGCGUAGAUAUCAAGAGGAACACCUGAGGUGAAGACGGGUUGCUGGGCUGACACUGACGCUGAGGCGCGAAAGCUAGGGUAGCAAACGGG
RNAcentral lists this ribosomal RNA (254 nucleotides) under uncultured bacterium. RNAcentral's name for it is "partial 16S ribosomal RNA". It matches the Rfam family "Bacterial small subunit ribosomal RNA", at positions 524 to 776 of the family's 1533-position model. The record is from RNAcentral.